UCUAGGGAGGGUAAGGGGCCGAGGUCGGCAGCAUUAUCUUCCGUGGACCGUGGGCUGUGAGCUUCCCAGAGGGGCGAGACCCCAUCAUUAGCCUCAUCGUGCGCACUGCCUUCCUAGUGUUCAGCUCCAGAAAGCUCCGCGGUGCCAGUCACUUCGGAGGCUUCCUGGGACAUACUCUAGUACUAAGAGAAAAAGAGGAGGUAGGUUUUGCAGUGUCCAGAUCCAGGGACAUCUCCUAGCUGGGGGAGAGGGAGAUUCCAUGGCCCUUCAGGGACCUUUCUGUCCAGAUUCUCAGGUCAAGACAAAGUGCAAACAGUUAACUCCAAAGGAAAAACCUUUUGAAAAAGAAUCACAAGGAGUAACCCAGAAAGUUUUCCUAAGAGGCAAUCCAGAGAAGUCUGAGUGUCAACUAGCUUAUGGGACUGAGAUAGCCACAGAACAUUCAUGGGGGGGCAGGAAUCACAAUAAAGGGCAAGAGGAAGUUCUCCCAAAAGAGAGGUUCAGGGCAAGUGACCAGCUUUCUGCUCAAAACCAGUACAGCAGAGAAAGAUGAGGAAUGUCCCAAAUUAAAGAAAAGUGUGUCUCUGGGCACAAGUCUGCUGCUUGUCAGAGGGACAGGCCAGGACAGAGCGCCACUAGAUGGAGGACAUGUGGCCAAGGCUUUCUGUGGGAGCCAGAAAGUGGACAGGAGACAGAUCCUGCGUGGAUCAAACUCCCUGGGUGGAUGUAUUAUGUGUAGAAAAUCUUUCAGCAAAAAUUCACACCUGUGCCAGGCGUGGUGGUGCACCCCU
This is a long non-coding RNA of Chinchilla lanigera (long-tailed chinchilla), 791 nucleotides long. RefSeq lists it as uncharacterized. Lineage: Eukaryota; Metazoa; Chordata; Mammalia; Rodentia; Chinchillidae. The transcript is spliced from 3 exons. The record is from RefSeq and is a predicted model, not a curated record.